GGGUUCGUAGCUCAGUUGGUUAGAGCGCUGUAUUCACAUUGCAGAGGUCCCCCGUUCGAGCCGGGGCGGACCCACCA
Molecule: transfer RNA, 77 nt
Filed under: Bacteroidota bacterium
Lineage: Bacteria; Pseudomonadati; Bacteroidota
Description: Bacteroidetes bacterium (sediment metagenome) tRNA-Val
Rfam family: tRNA
About the family: Transfer RNA (tRNA) molecules are approximately 80 nucleotides in length. Their secondary structure includes four short double-helical elements and three loops (D, anti-codon, and T loops). Further hydrogen bonds mediate the characteristic L-shaped molecular structure. tRNAs have two regions of fundamental functional importance: the anti-codon, which is responsible for specific mRNA codon recognition, and the 3' end, to which the tRNAs corresponding amino acid is attached (by aminoacyl-tRNA synthetases). tRNAs cope with the degeneracy of the genetic code in two manners: having more than one tRNA (with a specific anti-codon) for a particular amino acid; and 'wobble' base-pairing, i.e. permitting non-standard base-pairing at the 3rd anti-codon position.
Source: RNAcentral